UUGAACGCUAGCGGGAUGCUUUACACAUGCAAGUCGAACGGCAGCGCGGACUUCGGUCUGGCGGCGAGUGGCGAACGGGUGGGUAAUGUAUCGGAACGUGCCCAGUAGCGGGGGAUAACUACGCGAAAGCGUAGCUAAUACCGCAUACGCCCUACGGGGGAAAGCAGGGGAUCGUAAGACCUUGCACUAUUGGAGCGGCCGAUAUCGGAUUAGCUAGUUGGUGAGGUAACGGCUCACCAAGGCGACGAUCCGUAGCUGGUUUGAGAGGACGACCAGCCACACUGGGACUGAGACACGGCCCAGACUCCUACGGGAGGCAGCAGUGGGGAAUUUUGGACAAUGGGGGCAACCCUGAUCCAGCCAUCCCGCGUGUGCGAUGAAGGCCUUCGGGUUGUAAAGCACUUUUGGCAGGAAAGAAACGUCGCGGGCUAAUACCCCGUGGAACUGACGGUACCUGCAGAAUAAGCACCGGCUAACUACGUG
RNAcentral lists this ribosomal RNA (483 nucleotides) under uncultured bacterium. RNAcentral's name for it is "partial 16S ribosomal RNA". It matches the Rfam family "Bacterial small subunit ribosomal RNA", at positions 30 to 507 of the family's 1533-position model. The record is from RNAcentral.